UACAGAGGGUGCAAGCGUUAAUCGGAAUUACUGGGCGUAAAGCGCACGUAGGCGGCUUGGCAAGUUGGAUGUGAAAUCCCCGGGCUCAACCUGGGAAUUGCAUUCAAAACUGCCUUGCUCGAGUUUGGUAGAGGGAAGCGGAAUUCCAGGUGUAGCGGUGAAAUGCGUAGAUAUCUGGAGGAACAUCAGUGGCGAAGGCGGCAUCCUGGACCAACACUGACACUGAGGAGCGAAAGCCAGGGGAGCAAACGGG
Molecule: ribosomal RNA, 253 nt
Filed under: uncultured bacterium
Lineage: Bacteria
Description: partial 16S ribosomal RNA
Rfam family: Bacterial small subunit ribosomal RNA
Source: RNAcentral